GAUGAAGAACGUAGCGAAAUGCGAUACUUGGUGUGAAUUGCAGAAUCCCGUGAACCAUCGAGUCUUUGAACGCAAGUUGCGCCCGAAGCCAUCAGGUUGAGGGCACGUCUGCCUGGGCGUCACAUAUCGUUGCCCAAUGCCUAUUGCAGUGCAAUAGGAAUUUCUAGGGCGAAUGAUGGCUUCCUGUGAGCGUUGUUGCCUCGCGGUUGGUUGAAAAUCGAGUCCUUGGUAGGGUGUGCCAUGGUAGAUGGUGGUCGAGUUAGAACGAUACCGAUCAUGUGCAUGCUCCCCAAAAUAUGGCCUCUAUGACCCACACGCGUCUUUUGACGCUCAUGACGAGACCUCAGGUCAGGCGGGGCUACCCGCUGAAUUUAAGCAUAUCAAUAAGCGGAGGA
This 395-nucleotide unclassified non-coding RNA is filed under the name soil metagenome. RNAcentral describes it as "partial contains 5.8S ribosomal RNA, internal transcribed spacer 2, and large subunit ribosomal RNA". The stretch from base 1 to 122 matches the Rfam family "5.8S ribosomal RNA", at positions 35 to 154 of the family's 154-position model. The record is from RNAcentral.